RNAcentral lists this ribosomal RNA (204 nucleotides) under Triticum aestivum (bread wheat). Its description in RNAcentral is "partial small subunit ribosomal RNA". Lineage: Eukaryota; Viridiplantae; Streptophyta; Magnoliopsida; Poales; Poaceae. The record is from RNAcentral.
AUGAGCGCGGGCGCGACAGCCUUGUCCCGGUCGAUGAUGGCGGCGGUGCUCCUUCUCAUCCUCUACCUCCAAGGACACGCACCAGUACAGCUCAGGCACCCCCGUCCCCAAAUCCCGUCCACCCAUCCGGCGUUGUCUAACUCAUCCUCAGGCUCGUGGAUUCGCCUCCUCCUGUACGCGACACUUGAAACGUGGACGUGGUGA